UACGUAGGGGGCAAGCGUUGUUCGGAAUUACUAGGCGUAAAGGGCGCGUAGGCGGCACGACAAGUCGGGAGUGAAAGCCCGGGGCUCAACCCCGGAGGGUCUCUCGAUACUGUCGAGCUAGAGUGCGGAAGAGGCAACCGGAAUUCUCAGUGUAGCGGUGAAAUGCGUAGAUAUUGAGAAGAACACCAGAGGCGAAGGCGGGUUGCUGGGCCGACACUGACGCUGAGGCGCGAAAGCCAGGGGAGCAAACGGG
RNAcentral lists this ribosomal RNA (253 nucleotides) under uncultured bacterium. RNAcentral's name for it is "partial 16S ribosomal RNA". It matches the Rfam family "Bacterial small subunit ribosomal RNA", at positions 524 to 776 of the family's 1533-position model. The record is from RNAcentral.